AUACGGAGGGGGCUAGCGUUGUUCGGAAUCACUGGGCGUAAAGCGCACGUAGGCGGAUUGGUUAGUUGGGGGUGAAAUCCCGGGGCUCAACCCCGGAACUGCCUCCAAAACUGCCAGUCUCGAGUCCGGGAGAGGUGAGUGGAAUUCCGAGUGUAGAGGUGAAAUUCGUAGAUAUUCGGAGGAACACCAGUGGCGAAGGCGACUCACUGGCCCGGUACUGACGCUGAGGUGCGAAAGCGUGGGGAGCAAACAGGAUUAGAAACCCCGGUAGUCC
Molecule: ribosomal RNA, 274 nt
Filed under: uncultured bacterium
Lineage: Bacteria
Description: partial 16S ribosomal RNA
Rfam family: Bacterial small subunit ribosomal RNA
Source: RNAcentral